Molecule: ribosomal RNA, 279 nt
Filed under: uncultured bacterium
Lineage: Bacteria
Description: partial 16S ribosomal RNA
Rfam family: Bacterial small subunit ribosomal RNA
Source: RNAcentral
UGCCAGCCGCCGCGGUAAUACGGAGGGUGCAAGCGUUAAUCGGAAUUACUGGGCGUAAAGCGCGCGUAGGCGGCUUAGUUAGUCGGAUGUGAAAUCCCCGGGCUUAACCUGGGAACUGCAUUCGAUACUGCUGGGCUAGAGUAUGGAAGAGGGAAGUGGAAUUCCGGGUGUAGCGGUGAAAUGCGUAGAUAUCCGGAGGAACACCAGUGGCGAAGGCGACUUCCUGGGCCAAUACUGACGCUGAGGUGCGAAAGCGUGGGGAGCAAACAGGAUUAGAUA